Molecule: non-coding RNA, 46 nt
Filed under: Schistosoma margrebowiei
Lineage: Eukaryota; Metazoa; Platyhelminthes; Trematoda; Strigeidida; Schistosomatidae
Source: RNAcentral
ACACUGAUGAGGAGUCCCACAAUAGGACGAAACGGCCGUUCAGUGC